This 508-nucleotide ribosomal RNA is filed under the name uncultured bacterium. RNAcentral's name for it is "partial 16S ribosomal RNA". It matches the Rfam family "Bacterial small subunit ribosomal RNA", at positions 30 to 523 of the family's 1533-position model. The record is from RNAcentral.
AUUGAACGCUGGCGGCAUGCCUUACACAUGCAAGUCGAACAGCAGCGGGGGAGAAGCUUGCUUUUCCUGCCGGCGAGUGGCGAACGGGUGAGUAAUACAUCGGAACGUGCCCUGUAGUGGGGGAUAACUAGUCGAAAGAUUAGCUAAUACCGCAUACGACCUGAGGGUGAAAGUGGGGGACCGCAAGGCCUCAUGCUAUAGGAGCGGCCGAUGUCUGAUUAGCUAGUUGGUGGGGUAAAGGCCUACCAAGGCGACGAUCAGUAGCUGGUCUGAGAGGACGAUCAGCCACACUGGGACGGAGACACGGCCCAGAUUCCUACGGGAGGCAGCAGUGGGGAAUUUUGGACAAUGGGCGAAAGCCUGAUCCAGCAAUGCCGCGUGUGUGAAGAAGGCCUUCGGGUUGUAAAGCACUUUUGUCCGGAAAGAAAUGGCUCUGGUUAAUACCUGGGGUCGAUGACGGUACCGGAAGAAUAAGGACCGGCUAACUCUGUGCCAGCCGCCGCCGUAA